AUUUGUAUUUUAUAAUAUAGCAUUUGUAAAUUCUGAACGCUGAUUGGCUAAGAGCCGUGUUGAUAUAACUCAAUGUCAACACGGAAACGUUGGAAAAUUUCUUUCUUUAUAUUUCUUUGUGCUAUAUUAUAAAACAAAUAAAAAACUUUUUUCCGUAUUGAUAUAUAGUUAUAUCAACACUCGUGGAAGUUGGGAAAACUCGAAAUUUUGUGAAAACACUCCGCCCUUUCUCGUUUUCCCAAUUUCCACUCGUGUUGAUAUAACUGUAUAUCAACACGGAAAAUGUUUUAUAUUUGUUAAAUAUUAAAUGUAAAUCCAAG
Non-coding RNA from Paramuricea clavata, 320 nucleotides. The record is from the annotation of a GenBank genome assembly. Lineage: Eukaryota; Metazoa; Cnidaria; Anthozoa; Malacalcyonacea; Plexauridae.